CCAUAUAUUUAGGACAUCAAAUCUGAGACAACACUUAGAAGCCAACCACACCAGAAUUUCAGAUGGGUUUGUCCUUGGAGAUAGUGGAUAUGCAUGCCGACCCUACUUACUCACUCCCUACCUUCACCCACAAGGGAACCCUCAACAGCGGUAUAACGACAGACUGUGUAGGACCAGAGUCACCAUAGAGAGGACCUUUGGCCGAUUAAAACGAAGGUUUCAUGUUCUGCAUUCUGAGAUCCGUAUGAACCCAGGAAAGGUGUGCAAAAUUAUAUUGACCUGCGCAAUAUUGCACAACAUAGCUAUCUUUCGGAGUGAGGUUCUUGAUGUCGAUGAUGCCCAUGUGAGACAGGACCAGCCACCCAUUGACCACUACAGAGGACGGAAUGACGGCAAGGCUAUCAGGGAUCAUAUAGCAAGUACUUUCUUUGCUAACUAGACUCUGGUUCUCUCUCUCUCCUGCUAAGACCUGGUACUGCAUAUGGAGUACAUCAUCAUUACUGUGCUUAGUCUUCCUGGAUUUUCUCAGUCUGCCCUGGAUCUUCUCUGUCUGCACUUCAUCUUGCCUGCUUGAUGGUGGAAUUUUAGAACAUUCAAUUGGUGUAUCCAUGGGUGAUGCUGGUAGUUUGACGCCAGAUUCAGGAUCAGUUGAAAUAGUUUGCUGAUUAUUUGU
Molecule: long non-coding RNA, 673 nt
Organism: Haliotis rubra (blacklip abalone)
Lineage: Eukaryota; Metazoa; Mollusca; Gastropoda; Lepetellida; Haliotidae
Exons: 4
Source: RefSeq, a predicted model, not a curated record